AGGAAUAUUGGUCAAUGGGCGAGAGCCUGAACCAGCCAAGUAGCGUGAAGGAUGACUGCCCUAUGGGUUGUAAACUUCUUUUAUAAAGGAAUAAAGUCGGGUAUGGAUACCCGUUUGCAUGUACUUUAUGAAUAAGGAUCGGCUAACUCCGUGCCAGCAGCCGCGGUAAUACGGAGGAUCCGAGCGUUAUCCGGAUUUAUUGGGUUUAAAGGGAGCGUAGAUGGAUGUUUAAGUCAGUUGUGAAAGUUUGCGGCUCAACCGUAAAAUUGCAGUUGAUACUGGAUAUCUUGAGUGCAGUUGAGGCAGGCGGAAUUCGUGGUGUAGCGGUGAAAUGCUUAGAUAUCACGAAGAACUCCGAUUGCGAAGGCAGCCUGCUAAGCUGCAACUGACAUUGAGGCUCGAAAGUGUGGGUAUCAAACAGGAUUAGAUACCCUGGUAGUCCACACGGUAAACGAUGAAUACUCGCUGUUUGCGAUAUACAGCAAGCGGCCAAGCGAAAGCGUUAAGUAUUCCACCUGGGGAGUACGCCGGCAACGGUGAAACUCAAAGGAAUUGACGGGGGCCCGCACAAGCGGAGGAACAUGUGGUUUAAUUCGAUGAUACGCGAGGAACCUUACCCGGGCUUAAAUUGCAGAUGAAUUACGGUGAAAGCCGUAAGCCGCAAGGCAUCUGUGAAGGUGCUGCAUGGUUGUCGUCAGCUCGUGCCGUGAGGUGUCGGCUUAAGUGCCAUAACGAGCGCAACCCUUGUUGUCAGUUACUAACAGGUUCUGCUGAGGACUCUGACAAGACUGCCAUCGUAAGAUGUGAGGAAGGUGGGGAUGACGUCAAAUCAGCACGGCCCUUACGUCCGGGGCUACACACGUGUUACAAUGGGGGGUACAGAGGGCCGCUAUCACGCGAGUGGAUGCCAAUCCCAAAAACCUCUCUCAGUUCGGACUGGAGUCUGCAACCCGACUCCACGAAGCUGGAUUCGCUAGUAAUCGCGCAUCAGCCACGGCGCGGUGAAUACGUUCCCG
Molecule: ribosomal RNA, 1016 nt
Filed under: uncultured bacterium
Lineage: Bacteria
Description: bacterial SSU rRNA
Rfam family: Bacterial small subunit ribosomal RNA
Source: RNAcentral